Molecule: long non-coding RNA, 293 nt
Organism: Dermacentor albipictus
Lineage: Eukaryota; Metazoa; Arthropoda; Arachnida; Ixodida; Ixodidae
Source: RefSeq, a predicted model, not a curated record
GGUGGGCUGCAUAUGUGGUCGUUGGCCUGUUCGGCGACGCCGUCUGCCUCUUUUUUCCUUUUUGGUUUGGAUUUAGCCUGGUUUUGGGUGGAUUUCCGGUGGAUUCUUGCGUUCCUUCUGCACUUCGACGCGGCACCACUGCACUAUUGGACUAUACGGCAAGCUGACGUCGUCUGGUGGAGCUUCGUACGGGAACUAUUGCUGCUUACGUAUAGUGCCACAACGUUGGAGGAAUGCACAAAAAGCCCGGAACGAGCAUUUAUAUAGAGUGAAAUAAACAUUUCCUCAUUUCA